CACGACCAGGACUGGAGCCCUGCAUGCCAGAAACCGAAGUUCCCGCGUAGCCACAAGCGGCUUAUACGAAGACCGCUGCCCGGGCACUGAAGUCGGAUUAGCGUUCAUCGCCGUCGUCGCCCCGGCUUCUAAUUCCUGCACGUCCAAGCACCCGAAGCAUCCCCCAUACCGAGGCAAUCAAAAGUGACCAAAGAUUCUGGCGCUACGCAUAGCAAAUUGGAAGCACCCGUCCAAAGGCGUGAACAACGUACUCGAUGGGAACAAGUAUUCGUUAUUAAAGACUUUGAAGUGUU
Dermacentor silvarum is the source of this 293-nucleotide long non-coding RNA. RefSeq lists it as uncharacterized. The record is from RefSeq and is a predicted model, not a curated record. NCBI's taxonomy places the organism in Eukaryota, Metazoa, Arthropoda, Arachnida, Ixodida, Ixodidae. The transcript has 2 exons.